Molecule: long non-coding RNA, 726 nt
Organism: Penaeus chinensis
Lineage: Eukaryota; Metazoa; Arthropoda; Malacostraca; Decapoda; Penaeidae
Exons: 5
Source: RefSeq, a predicted model, not a curated record
GGCGUGAUGGUUCGUACCGCACGCUGCUAUCUUUCAUGUCAUGCAAACAGGAGUGGAAACCUUUAUUUUUACCGAUUCGUAGGGACCACGACAGAUCCUUAGCAUGGUGGAAAAUUGUCAAUAGGCCGGAGUUGUUAAGGAAGGCGUGUCAGCAAGUCGGUAAUAUUUACAAGAUAUGUUUAGACAUUUUGAGGCCGGGUUGUAAAUGACUUCGACAUCUCUAUGCAUUAUACUUUCAACAGCCCUAAACAUACCCGAUAAGUUUUCUCUUGAAACCUUACGCGUGCUCAAGAGGGAGAGAUGCAAGGUGUAGCUGUAUAGUGCACACUGCACAGUGUAGUUCCUCGCCACUGGUACUGCUGACACCAUCACCAGUACCGUCCCACCAGCUCCAUCUUGUGAUAGCACCUCCAUACUAGUGCAUAGAUCAUAUCUACAUGCUUGGAUUCUGAAUUGAGUUGGAAUAAAACUAAACCAGCGCCUGCACAGCAAGAGAGACAGUGCAUUUCCGGUCUAGGCAUAACAACAGCAUUUUGCAAGUUCAAUGAAGGAUAGAACAGUUAAAACCAAAUUACAAGAAGUUAGAAACUCGUCGAUAAACACACUUAGAAAUAUUAUCAGCGGAAGUCAACACAUUUCUGAGGGAAUGAAAGAAAAAAAAAUGCAAGACACGUGAUUGUAUGCAUUUAAGUAUUAAAUGAAAUCUCCAUUAAAAUAUUAUUUUAA